RNAcentral lists this ribosomal RNA (543 nucleotides) under uncultured bacterium. Its description in RNAcentral is "bacterial SSU rRNA". It matches the Rfam family "Bacterial small subunit ribosomal RNA", at positions 967 to 1509 of the family's 1533-position model. The record is from RNAcentral.
AACCUUACCAAAUCUUGACAUCCUUUGACCCUUACUAGAGAUAGAAGUUUCCCCUUCGGGGACAAAGUGACAGGUGGUGCAUGGUUGUCGUCAGCUCGUGUCGUGAGAUGUUGGGUUAAGUCCCGCAACGAGCGCAACCCUUAAGCUUAGUUGCCAUCAUUAAGUUGGGCACUCUAAGUUGACUGCCGGUGACAAACCGGAGGAAGGUGGGGAUGACGUCAAAUCAUCAUGCCCCUUAUGAUUUGGGCUACACACGUGCUACAAUGGACAAUACAAAGGGCAGCGAAACCGCGAGGUCAAGCAAAUCCCAUAAAGUUGUUCUCAGUUCGGAUUGUAGUCUGCAACUCGACUACAUGAAGCUGGAAUCGCUAGUAAUCGUAGAUCAGCAUGCUACGGUGAAUACGUUCCCGGGUCUUGUACACACCGCCCGUCACACCACGAGAGUUUGUAACACCCGAAGCCGGUGGAGUAACCAUUUGGAGCUAGCCGUCGAAGGUGGGACAAAUGAUUGGGGUGAAGUCGUAACAAGGUAAGCGUAGCGAG